Leptidea sinapis is the source of this 8664-nucleotide long non-coding RNA. RefSeq lists it as uncharacterized. The transcript has 2 exons. Lineage: Eukaryota; Metazoa; Arthropoda; Insecta; Lepidoptera; Pieridae. The record is from RefSeq and is a predicted model, not a curated record.
GCCGCCGUGCUGGCCACCCGCGCGGGGCCCGCCGCGCUCACACUGCGGACGCCCUAUUAUCAAUUUCUGUGCAACUGCUUGGAUCGAAUGGCCGAGGAGUCGCAGUGGGCGGACACGGGGGACUAGCUGCCCACGACUUAACUAAUAAAUGACAUCGCUCGACUCACUCGACUCACUCGACGACCGUCUAAUAUCCAGUAUUUAUAAUUUGUAUAUUGUUUUAUUGUAUCAUUCCUACAAGUAUAGUGAAAUUAUACAACGCCAUAUGUAUUAAAUGUUACUUCUCGUAUUAUAACUAUAUUAGAGAUAUAUUAUUAUUAUCGAAAUAAAAUCGUACUUAUAAUUAAAUUAUUUAAAAUUUUAACAUUAAUUUUACACGAUUUUUACAAUUAUAAUAAAUGAACAAUCGCAAUAUGAAAUAUAGUGAAAUGUCUAUUGUAGUUAAUUAAGAUGUAUUUUGUUUCCUUCGCGGUGUAUCGUAGCUUAUGUAGACAAGACAUAAAUCUAUAUAAAAGUAUAACUAAAUAAGCAUGUAACAUAGAUUUAAUUUUGAGUUAAUAUCGAAUACUAUAUUAAAAUAAUAGAGUGAAAGAGAUGCUGUCACAAAUAUGUAAACUAAUUGGUGCAAACAGCCACAAACAACUGCUACAGUGUAAUAUUCGUUACAGCGAGUCAACAUUGCCAUUAGCCUUUCCGGUCCUGGAAAACUAAUCGCGCGGUAUUCCUCAGAUCGACGCGAAUUUUGGCGCUCGCGCAGCGUUCUUUCAAUGUGUAUUAUUUUACGUGUAGCAAUAGAUUGCUUAUAAUUAGGAUGAUUUGAGUGAAUGUAUGCGAGAAAGCUUUAUUUUGCAUAGUCUUACAGCUAUGAUUUUAUACUUUGUUUACUAAAAAUUGUCAUAAAAAUGGUUUAAGUUUUCUUUCGUGUUAAUUCCGCCAAUAUUUAUUUUUAAAACAAUUCGACACGUGUUUCGCCUCUACACGAGGCAUCCUCAAGAUUUAUUGUCUCGCCAAAAUCUGGCACGAGACUGUAUUUAAGUAUACAAAUGAUUUAAGUUUUCUUUCGUGUUAAUUCCGCCAAUAUUUGUUUUUAAAACAAUUCGACACGUGUUUCGCCUCUACACGAGCCAUCCUCAGGACUUGUUGUCUCGCCAAAAUAAGGAAGACUUACGUCUCGUGCCAGAUUUUGGAGAAAGAAAACUUAAAUCAUUUGUAAAAUUUGCCAGAAAGAAAACUUAAAUCAUUUGUAUAAAUGGAUUUCCGCAAAGUAACGCCUAAUUCUAUAAUUUUUUUUUUCAAAAAUUGUCGUGCCAUGAGGUUCAAAUAUUUAAUAAACUUCCCGAUGCUAUUAAAAUGUUGAAUAUCGGUCCUUUUAAAACUCAAUUAUAUGAAUGUCUAAUUAAUUACAAUUUCUAUGCUGUAUCUCACUUUUUAAAUUUGUGAUUUUCAUUUUUAUAAUCUUAUGUUUAACUUUGAGUACAUAUGUAUAUCACAUGUAUAUUUUGUGUAGAUGCUAAUAUAAUGUAACAAUGAAAUAUUAUGUGCAAUGUUAGAAUUUUUUUAUUACAUGAUGUUGGAGGUAAUGUAAUUUGCAUGCCCUUUUUGGCUAAUGUGUUGAUUCGUAUAGGACUUUGAAACACACGUUAUGUAAAUAAAUAAUUAUUAUUAUUAUAAGACCAUGCAAAAUAAAUCAUAUUAUAAACAAAAUAAAGGUCAGAACUUGGUGAUGGAGUAGGGUGCCGUACGGCACUUCCGGUUUUGGUGUAUCUGUAUAUCUUGUAUUUGGGCAUAUUACGUACAUGGAAUCAGUUGCACGUAUUUCGUAUUUUCAUGCCAUCAUACGAUUAUGCUGCUAGGGAUUUUUUUUAUCCUUAUUUAUUUUUUUCCACCACUUUCUUCUGCCGUGAAGCGGCAGAGUGCAAGAAUUGUUGUCUUUCGGUUUGAGAACUUAACAUCCUAUACCACAAAGUGACGAGCGAACGACAAAUUGGGAUGCCGCUCAUAACAUUGGGUUCAAUCAAGGAUCCUGAGCGGGGUCUAAGGGCUGGGCGUAUCACAGUUUUUCUCAUAGAAAAAAAAACCUGUAAAUUUAAAUAUGCGUAUCAAAUGUGCUGUUCAUAGGUAUGAGGCAACAUGUUAUAUAUACAAUGUUUUUGUCACAACCCUUUCAUUUCUUCAGCGACUACACAGGCAGAACAAAGGAGUUGACGAAGCGAGAUUGAGUGCCAGCUAUUUUUAUUUAGAAUAUAAACAUUCGUUUUGUUUUCAAUAAUGAACGUUUUGAACAAAUAGUAUUGAAAGUAGUCUCAAAUGAAGUAUGAAGGCGGACAUAAAUUAUGGUGUCGACUGUUGGAUUUUUUAAUAUAUUCAAUAGGGUACCUGAAACAACUUGUAUGUGUGUGUGUUGAAGCAAUUACUCCAUAAAGGUUGCUUGAAACAUUGACGUUGGAAGAAAUAUUGUGAUGUGUACUGUCAAACAAUCUGAUUUGUGCAUUCAACUGGUCCAUAUGGUGGCUAUUUUAAUAUUUUUCUUGCUUGCUAGGUUUUGAAUGGAAUUAUUGAUAAUUGAUGUUAACGAUAUAUUUGUUUCUUUGUGAUAGAGAAAAUAAAAUGAACCUUUUACUCCUAAGUAGAUGUUUAUGAAAAGAGACAUUGUCUGAUCAGCAAUAUGAGAGAAAGAGUUAAAAGUCAGAUUCUGUCAACCUUAUGGAAAACCUUAGCAGAAGAUUUUAGUGGUACUAUAUACUAGAAGUAUUGCAGUAUCACUAAAACCAUUCUAAGACUAUCGGCAACUGUUAAAUAUUAUAAUGUCGGCGCCAUCCUGCAUUAUCUAAAUCGGUGUAAAAUCGUCUAUAUCUGUUUGACGAUUAAUCUAUUCCUUUACAAUAUAAUAACUGUUAUUGUAAAACUGUCCUAAUGAUAGCAGUGUUUGUAGUUAGAGUGAUCUCAUCAAUAUUGUUCAUAUAGCCAAUGUAAAUUAGUUUACGUUGUAAAAGCGUUAGAAUAGCAAUUAUUAUUGGUUACGGUUAUGGAACCGUUCGCUUCCCUGUACCGCCUUACAUAUCCUGGUAGCGUAUAUUAAUUGUAAUCUAUAAACUUAACUUUCUAUCUUUUUAACUUCUAUCGCCGCGUGCGUCAAUUAUCUAGUAACAAAUGAUCAUAAGUCACUGACCUCUACUAUUUACCACUGCUCUGACGGCUGUCAAAGUGCUUUUGUGUCUGUAUGAUAUUCGCCAUUUUGGCGCUUGUGGCCAUUUAGCGAGAGUCUGUGGUACUUAAACCAAUAAUGACCACCUCAGCUAAACAAACAUCGAUAGGAAAACAAUUUACAAAAUAAAAUUGUGUACUUUAUAACGUUGAUUCCUGAAGUAUAAAUAACACGAAAAAUGACCAAAAUUAAUUCAAAAUGCAAAAAUACUUCAGAGUAUUGUACGCUUCUCUCGCAGCCAUUUGUAUUAUACGUCAAAAUUAGUUCUCUGGACGCUCGCGAGGCACUUCGCAAACACAAAUAGGCACAAAAAAUUUGUUGUCAAAUUUAUGGAACAGCCUGUCCAGUGAUAUUUAUAUAGGUCAGUGUCAUAAGUAUAAUAUAAGACACCUAAUUGCUUAGGGAUUUAAAUAAGUUUGAGAAAAAUCAUUAGAAAUACGUCGACAGGAAGUCGCGUUUUAUCUUUUUAGAUUAUCGAAUUUAUUUUGUUUUAUGAUAAUUACUUAUUAUUAUUAUUAAAUAAUAAUCAAAGGAACUUCGAUUUCUAUUUAGUGAAAUGUAUUUUAUAUAUUAUUUUAUUGGUCCUUCGAGUCAGAUCACAGUAAUUUAAUCUAAAAUACGUGGGGAGUAAUUAUCAUGUAAUAUUUAAAUAAGGUUUUAUGUUAUCUAUACCAGGCUCCUUUGCACAGGAAGCCGGCUAGAUUAUGGGUACCACAACGGCGCCUGUCUCUGCCGUGAAGCAGUAAUGUGUAAGCUUUAUUGUGUUACGGUCUGAAGGGCGCCGUAGCUAGUGAAAUUACUGGGCAAAUGAGACUUAACAUCUUAUGUCUCAAGGUGUUGAGCGCAAUUAUUGUAGUACCGCUCAGAAUUUUUCUGUUUUUCAAGAAUGCUGAGCGGCACUGAAUUCUAUUAAAAAUAUAUUAAUUUUAAUGGUAUAAUGAUUUGAAAUAUAUUUUGCUUGAAGGACUUGGCUGGAGUGAUCUAUAAAUGUAAAGUUUCACUGUGAUUAAUUUAACGAAAUUAUAAUAUCACAGAAGUUUGUCGUUAGUAUUGACAGGCUGAAGUUCAGUGAUAUUAAUUGAGAUAACGUUAAACAAAUUGUUUUAUUUAGAAAUUUAUAAAACUAAUGAUGUUUAUAUGAUAAGUUUUAACAGUUAAGCUUAAGUUGGAAUAAAAUUCAUAUUUUUAAAUAUUUAAACGGUUUUUGUAUAUCGGUAUUGUUGGUCAUUGAAAUGUAGUGUUAUAUUUGAGGGAAUUUAUUUUGCAUCGUACGCGUUUUAAUCGAUAUUUGUGCCACACGCACUGACCUAUACUAUUUACCACUGGACUGGCGGCUGUCAAAUUACUUUUGUGACUGUUUGAUAUUCGCCAUUUUGGCGCUGCUGGCCAUGUAGCGAGAGUCUGCGGUACUAAAACUAGUGUUGACGACCGCAGCUAAACAAACAUCAAUAGGAAAACUAUUUACUACUUUACUAAUACUUCAGAGUAUUGUACGUUUCUCUUGCAGCUAUUUGUAUUAAACGUCAAAACUAGUUCUCUGGACGCUCGCGAGUGGCGCUUCAAAUAGGCACAAAAAAUUCUGCUGUCAAACAUAUGAAAUAGCCUGUCCAGUGGUAUUUAUACAGGUCAGUGGCCACACGUAUCUGUCCUGUGUUGCGUUCUUCUCGUUUCUGUUUAAAUAUUAUUGCGCUGUUUCCCGUUUUUAUGAAUUAAGAAUAAUAAUAAUAAUGAAUUCUUCCCAAGGAAGCCCUCAUAAAAUCUUCGGUGUCCAUUUUUAUUGUGGACGACCUUACGUGGUACAUUAUUGAUUUAAAUCAACUUGUUCACGGUUCAUCGGUGAUGGUACCGACUAGUUUCGGAUCUUUCAGAGGUCCUAGUGUGCUCGCGGUAACGUCCCAUCUAACACUCAUUUGAGUGCUUGUGUGGUUUACAAAAUUUUGUUGAAAGUAUAUUACGAUUUUAUUAGGUGAUACUUCCUGUAUUUUUUUACGGCAGUUGAUGUUUGUCACAAUAUCAAUGGAGUCCUGCACCCUACAAACAUAAUACUAUAAAUGCUUUCUACUUUUUUAUUUUAAUACAUGUUUUCACGUUGAUUAACACAAGUAUUACACAUUUGAUGUUAACGUGCAGUUUUAUAUACUUGUUUAUUAUUAUUUAUUACACAAAUUAAAUUUGAAAACAAAAUCUGUGACCGAUGCGGUACUCGAACCCACGACCAUAAAUCUUGUAUGUCUUGUUCAACUCUCAGGUUGGAAGAGCGCUCGCGCGGAAUGUGAGAGGUCGCCCAUUCGAGUCCCGCAUCGAUGAUAAAUUUUGUUUUCAAAUUUAAUUUGUGUCUAUAAUCCCAGAAGUGAGGGUUGUCACUUUAAAAAAUAACAAAUUGUUUGUUCUUUAUUGUUUUAAAAUAUAACAAAAUAGUGUCAUUUAAUUAUAAUUGAUUUAUAUUGAAAUUAAUUUAUUGAAGAAUUGUCAUAUAAUAUAUACUUAAGGAGAAUACCUCUUGAAUUCUUUUCACACUUGCUAUUUCUUUUACUUAAGUUAAGAGUAAAAGAGAUAGCCCCGCCUAUACCGUGUCAUUAUAUUUUGAAUGUACUUGUGCCCCUAACAAGUUAGACACAGACAAGUUUAGUUGUAUUUUCUUUGAUUAACGCGAGUGUUACGCAUUUAAAUAAAACACCUUUUAAGGGAUUAAAAGACGUGUAAUUGUAACUUAAAACUCUGUUUUUACAUUAGAUUUAUGCGUAAAAGUUUCAUAUUUAUUUUAGUUAACGCGACGUUCCAAGACCUUUUCAGAUCUCGUUUUUGUAACGUCCCCCUUGAAACGUUUUAAUCCUUUAAAAAGUGUUUUAUUUAUACAUAUUAAGACGCGGGCCACAUAUACUUUAUUACAGUAUUUAUUACGAGUUCAAAUAGUUUAACCAAUUUGAUGUAUGGUUUUUGUAUAUAGAUGUAUUUAUAUAGUGUUCGAACAGUUAUAAAUUUAUAAAGCGUUCGUUUUAUGACAUUGUGUACUUAGCUUACUUGGUUGGAAUUGAGUCGAUGGUGGUAGCUUUAUAAUAUUAUAUAGUUCUAUGAAUUUUAUUGAAAUUGGAGAUUUAAUACACUCUCUCUCUAGUCGUUCCCUCAUGAAUGAGGAUCGUGGUCAUCAACAAGUGGUCCACACUUGGAGUGGACUAUUUGUUUCCAUCGGCUUCUGUCCUUCGCGGCCCUAAACGACGGAGCUAAACCACGGGGACCUGGAGUCAUUAAUUUGGUCGCUCCAUCUAGUAAGAGAUCAACUACUAUCAAUUUCUCCAGGCUAUCAUUACCCCUUCGCAUUAUGUGGCCAAAAUACGAAAGAAUUCGUUGGUCGAAUAUCGUGGACAGACAGGUUUUUAUCAAGAUAACGAUGAUCAAGAUAAAAGAGCUGUGAGAUAAUCGACACAUUUGUUCUCUUGACCGUCCAAGGUAUCCUCAACAUACGCCUCCAGCACCACAUAUCCAAGGCAUCAAUCAAGGCCUUUCUCUUUAAUACACAGUAGUGAAUAAUAACAGCGACUUCACAGUAUUUUCGUGCUUGUAUAAAUAUAGAAUACGAUCCCGAAUAUAAUAGCAGCCGAGUAUGCGGUGCGACCUGUUAGACGAGCAUUUUUAUUAGUUCCUAUGUCUGUAAUAUAUACUACGUUAUUGUAUAAUCUGCCACAGGGACGGCAUGAGCUGAAAACACAGAGACAUUGCAUUAAUACUAUAUUAUUUAAAAUAUUUAUUUAAUAAUUAAUUUAUUCGUCUUAACUAUUCAGAGUGUUUAGUUGAAUAAAAUAUUUAUUGGACAUAAUACAAUGAAUAUUUCAAUGCUCGAUAGUUCUAAACGAUAAACAAUAAAGAAAUCAUGUAUAAAGAUUUAAUUGGUGUAUACGCCACGAAAAUCGCAAAACAAAUGAUUAUCCCGUAGGAUAUUUCGUAAGUCUAUGUGCAAACAUCGUCAAUAGUCAACAGCUGUUUGCAACAGCAGCAAUUUGAAUCAUAAUCUCAUAGUGCGUUAACAAUAAAUAUAAUUUGCUCUUACUAUUGGCAGCUCAGCUUCUAUCAUAGGUUAGCCACGUCUUGAUGUUACUAUUAACACGCAAGACCAGCGUCCAGUGUGUAUGUACCUUAAUGUAGCAACACGUGCAAUAAUCACUCGCCUCAAAGGACAGCUGGCUGGCUAUUGUUAUAUCAAAUUUGUCGUUACGCAGUUCAGCUUUUGCAUGUACUUAAUAUUAAGAGAGCAUAACAAAGAGCGUUUACACACAGAGCUGACGCGGCGCGGGUUUACGAACUCCUAUCCUUCCUACAAUUACGUGGAUACGUGAUGACUCCUUUAUGUAUGUUGUGAGAAAAAUGGCUUAUUUAAUUAUUUACAAAUGUAUUUUCGCUCGUGCAACCCAUAAACUCAGUAUACUAGCGCAAUAGACAUAAUCCUGCUUAUUACGGCGAGACUAAAUUUAAAAUGUUCAUUUGUGCUAGUUUUAUAGAUGUGUUAGUGAGUUAGUGAAGUGAGCAGUAUUUUGCUUUUAGAUAAUCCCUAUGUCAAAUAUUGAUAAACGGCGUCAUAUUCACGUAUAUAAUAUUUUAUUUUCUAUCACAUAUUUAUUUUUAAUUAAUAUAAUCUUUACUGCGUAUAUAAAAUGUAAUACAAAAUAUUUUACUGAAUAUGUUCUACGAAAAUAAAUAAAUGUUUCUUUAUUUGGAUUGUUGCUGUAGAUAACAACUCAAUCUAACUAAGAGCACGACACCUAAAUAUUUUUUAAUUAAUAUCCGUUAAAACACAAAAAUUACGAUAUAAACACAAAAAAUGAAAAUGCAGUCUAAUUUGACAGGAGACUAAUGGACACUAAUUUGAUUCAAAACGGUUUCACGGUCCAUCUAUUCCGUCUCUUUCUCACACCUAGGUUUUUGUGUAAGGAUAGGUAUCUCACUCUCACACAGGGUUCGUCUUUUACGCUAGUAUACUAAGUUUAUGGUGUAACGACUAACCCCAAGCCUGUUAAUGGAUUGGUGGAGUAUAACAUGUUUACGGUUGUAACUGUUGAUUGGUGUCGAACUUACCUAAAGUAAUAUAAUAUAAAAAUCAUGUUAUAUACUGUUUCCGCUUCUUCGCUAGCCGUUUCUGGAUCAUUAACCGCUAUAAUACUUGAGAAAUGUAUGACUCCCGUGAAAAUAUCAUUAGUUUGUGUUAAAUACUGUUGGUGUUGAGUUGCCGCACCGGUGCCGCGCGCCGCCCUUGUGUCGCACAUCUUAUAGUUGUGUGUGUCGUUUAAUACUGUAAUCAUGUAAUGUACUUUAUGACUAAUGAAAUAAUUAUUAAUACGAAUAUCAGUCUUGAAUGUUAAAUUUAAAUUUUCUAUCAAUUUUAUAAUAGUUUUUGCUGAUGUGUAUGGAUUAUGGAUCAUUGUAACCUAAAUAUUAUAACGAUAUAAUUAAAGUGGUGAUAAAUAAUA